CCUCAAGCAGCUGACAGCACCUGUGUUGACAGAAGAAUAUGAUGGAACUGGAUCCUUGAGGGUUCACCACAACAGGGAGCCAAAACCACAUGUUCAGAUCUGAGAAAAUGAUCUCACUCAAAGCUGCUGUCUCUCAGACCGUGUGGCCUCCUGGUCCUGAGAGGUGCCGGUGGAGCGGGAGGUGCUGUGCUCAGGCUGAUGUGUCACUGGAGUGUGGAGGAGAAGUGGGAUUGUGCUCCGGGUCACCAGAAUGUCUCCUGUGAGGGGCCUUCAGCUGCUGGAAGCCAACGCGUGGGUCAGGUAUUUGAACAUCACCAUUUUCUCAAACCCACUGCUACCAGAAACCCGGUGAUUC
This 355-nucleotide long non-coding RNA is filed under the name Calidris pugnax (ruff). Its description in RNAcentral is "lncRNA (ENSCPUG00000019506.1)". The record is from RNAcentral. Lineage: Eukaryota; Metazoa; Chordata; Aves; Charadriiformes; Scolopacidae.